CUAACUUAAAUUUGUAUGGAGUUGAAUUUUUGCCUACGUUUGCCACUAGGGGCGCUGUUCCAACUGCAUACCAAUUUGAGUUA
This 83-nucleotide microRNA precursor is filed under the name Bombyx mori (domestic silkworm). RNAcentral describes it as "mir-2807 microRNA precursor family". It matches the Rfam family "mir-2807 microRNA precursor family". Lineage: Eukaryota; Metazoa; Arthropoda; Insecta; Lepidoptera; Bombycidae. The record is from Rfam by way of RNAcentral.